AGGAAAUAAAUGGAAACAUGCACAAGAAAAUGAAUCACUACUCUUGUUGUCAGUUACAUGACAGGCCAGCGAAUGAGUCUGUUCAAUCCCCACUGAGAGAAUGGCAUUGAGAAGGCUCUUUAGACACCCCAGUGAGGUUGCCUUGAAGUAAUAAGAGAGAAGAGGGGACUGGAAUAAUGAAUAAGCAGCGGUGAAAGCUCUCAGCUAUCUCCUGUAUAAUUCGCCAAAUUACUUUCUUCUGGCAACAUAAAGCUCCUAUUAUAGUACCGUAUUUAAAAUAAAUGAACCUAUAUAGAUCUGAUGGUAUCAAUAUUGUCUCAAACUCCUACUUGAUCCCAGGGAAAAUAUGCUCAAGGGACAAAAUACUAAGUUUCAAACAAUUUUAUCUUUAAGAUUCAGUUUAAGUCAGAUCCAAGAGGCCUACUUGGACUUGGACCACACCUUGGACUAUUCUUUCCCUAAUCAGCACACAAUAUUCAAAGAAGCAACAAGUGGAAGACUUUCUUAUCUCUCUUUUGAUAGGUAACAGUGGGUAGCCUGAGUGUGUGUAAGAGGAAAGGGGAGAAAGAGAAGCUGUAGAAAAGUGUACAACAUGCAAACAUAGUAUGGUGAAAUUUAACAACAGAAACAAAGAAAUUAUAAUUUCACCUCUCUUAAGCCAAAUAUCUAUUUCAGAUUGAAUAAUUAGAUUCUGGGUUACUCCUCAGGGCAUCUGAGUGGACAAGAAUAGACCCUUCUCAAUCAUUAUACUCACAUGCUGCACUGAGGCACUGUGCAAGAGUACAGUCCACUGCAAUGAACCAGUCAACAGAGGCCCACAAAGGCAAGCCUCUGUGCUUUGAGACUAUGGAAGAGAGUACCUGGAUCUAGUUUAUUCCAAAGACAGACAAGCAGUUUGUGCCUCCACUCCAGGAUGACUAACUACAACGAUUACACGUAAAAAGACAAAACAAGGCCGGGCGCGGCGGUUCACGCUUGUAAUCCCAGCACUUUGGGAGGCCGAGGCAGGCGUAUUACGAGGUCAGGAGAUCGAGACCUUCCUGGCUAAGACGGUGAAUCCCCGUCUCUACUAAAAAUACAAAAAAUUAGCCGGACAUGGUGGCGGGCGCCUGUAGUUUCAGCUACUCGGGAGACUGAAGCAGGAGAAUGGCGUGAACCCGAGAGGCGGAGCUUGCAGUGAGCUGAGAUCGCGCCACUGCACUCCAGCCUGGGCGACAGAGCGAGACUCCGUCUCAAAAAAAAAAGAAAAAGAAAAAGAAAAAAAAAAAAACCUUGCUACACUAAGUUCCUGAGGGCCAAGGAAAGCCAUUUAGAUCUUUGGGUUUCAUUUGCUUCACUUAAGCAUCUUUAUUUUUGCACUUGAACGUCUGGCAGAGCAUUUUGAUGAUGAUGAUGCACAAAUACUACGAAUAAAUGGAUGCGUGACUAGCUAAAUAGAA
This 1439-nucleotide long non-coding RNA is filed under the name Homo sapiens (human). RNAcentral's name for it is "HSALNT0368174". The record is from RNAcentral. Lineage: Eukaryota; Metazoa; Chordata; Mammalia; Primates; Hominidae.